ACCAGGAAGGGCGUAGUAAACGAAACUCUUUUGGGUAGUUGAAAAGAAGUGUAUAUCCGAAUAUUCCCAAAUAGGUCAACCUUUUGAACUACUGUUGAAUCCACGGGCAUACAAGAGCCAACUUGGCGAACUGAAACAUCUUAGUAGCCGGAGGAAAAGAAAGCAAAAGUUAUUCCCAUAGUAGCCGCGAAUGAAAUGGGAGUAGCCUAAAUCAUGAAAAUGGGGUUGUGGGAGAGAAAUAAAAGCAUCCUGCUGCUAGGUGAAGCAAUGAAGUGUCGGACCCUAGAUGGCGAUAAUCCAAUAGUGACCUGCCAUAAUUUGUAGUGGCAAAUUAGGUAUUUUUCGGCACUUAACAGGCUUUUUA
Non-coding RNA from Gossypium hirsutum (cotton), 364 nucleotides. The record is from Rfam. Lineage: Eukaryota; Viridiplantae; Streptophyta; Magnoliopsida; Malvales; Malvaceae.